Molecule: long non-coding RNA, 470 nt
Organism: Macrobrachium nipponense
Lineage: Eukaryota; Metazoa; Arthropoda; Malacostraca; Decapoda; Palaemonidae
Exons: 3
Source: RefSeq, a predicted model, not a curated record
GUUAACAUACACCUUCAUCAUAACCAAAUCUGCCUCUCGGGGUUUCCGAGUGGUUUGAUUAUGUUGAAAACAUUGGACAUUAGAACAUUGUUCAAAUAACUGUCAUUUAUAGUGGAAAUUGGUAUGAUAUUUUGAGUGCCUGUCAGUAUUAACCCAUUAUUUUUUAUUGGUUCAUGAAACUAAAUGAAGUGGGAAUGGCGACACUAGGGGAAGUGGUAUAUCAAAGUGGAAUAUUAUGGUCAUAAAAUAUUUUCAUAUGAAGCUAAAGUUGGAGUGGCUAUGGAAUAAACGGUUACCGAUUUGAAUCAGAAAUCAGGAUUUCCCUCCUUAUUCAGAAGAGCAAGGAGUGUGGUGACACUGGAAGCCAUAAGAAAAUACAUCACAGAAUUUUAAAACUUAAGAAUUGACUACGUGAACAAGUUCUGCAGUAUAUAAGCUUGGUGGGUCACAGAAUUUGAGAACUUCGAAUC